AAGGAAAUGGCAGAUCGGCUAUGUGGUUAACUUGAAAUUAUUAUAAGGGAGUUCAAUUCUCUCUUUCCUUG
RNAcentral lists this transfer RNA (71 nucleotides) under Phaeognathus hubrichti (Red Hills salamander). RNAcentral's name for it is "tRNA-Ser". It matches the Rfam family "tRNA". Rfam says of the family: Transfer RNA (tRNA) molecules are approximately 80 nucleotides in length. Their secondary structure includes four short double-helical elements and three loops (D, anti-codon, and T loops). The record is from RNAcentral. Lineage: Eukaryota; Metazoa; Chordata; Amphibia; Caudata; Plethodontidae.